This 730-nucleotide ribosomal RNA is filed under the name Anthopleura xanthogrammica (giant green sea anemone). Its description in RNAcentral is "eukaryotic LSU rRNA". It matches the Rfam family "Eukaryotic large subunit ribosomal RNA", at positions 143 to 700 of the family's 3401-position model. The record is from RNAcentral. Lineage: Eukaryota; Metazoa; Cnidaria; Anthozoa; Actiniaria; Actiniidae.
UUGUAGUUUCGAGAAGCACUUUCUAGGUGGACCCGGGGCCGUCCAAGUUGCUUGGAACAGCACGUCAUAGAGGGUGACAACCCCGUCUGUGGCGGAACCGGCCGCUGACGAUGCGCUUUCGACGAGUCGGGUUGUUUGGGAAUGCAGCCCAAAAUGGGUGGUAAACUCCAUCUAAAGCUAAAUACUGGCACGAGACCGAUAGCGAACAAGUACCGUGAGGGAAAGAUGAAAAGCACUUUGAAAAGAGAGUUAAAAAGUACGUGAAACCGUUAAAAGGGAAACGAAUGGGGUUAGCAAUGCGCUCUGCGAGAUUCAGCCGGUGGGAGUGGCUGGGCGGGCGGUCUGCGGAUCUGAAUGGACCGCGGCCGUUCGCGUCGGCUCUUCGACCGUCGCACUUCUCGCGAGCGCGCGUCAGCGUCGGUUGGGACUGGGUCUCAAAGGCGUCGGCAAGGUAGGUCUCUCCCCUCGGGGAGCGACUGUUAUAGACCGGCGUUUUUCAUGGCUCGGACCUGACCGAGGUGCCGCGGCGUGUGCCUCUUUUGGCUGGGGUCCCGUCGUUCCGGUCGGUCGUCGACUGCGGUGGACUGCGUGCAGUGCGCCGCGACUGCUGCCGGUCGCUUCGGCGGUGACCUCACACCACGCGCCCAGGACGCUGGCGGUCACAUGGCCUCAUCCGACCCGUCUUGAAACACGGACCAAGGAGUCUAACAUGUGCGCGAGUCUUCGAGUG